UGAGAUUUCAGUUUGAUCAAUUUAUCAAUUAACGCGGUUUCUAAAUUAUUGAUAAAUGAUACAACGUACAGACAGGUUUUUAUAUGUUCUUUUCCACAGGAGAUAUCCCAACUGACGUGUGUUGAUUGGUUCAGUUUGAAGAAAUAUGAAUGGUGCAGAAUGCAGCAGGAAACACAAACAAAUGGUUCACAUAGAUUUUCUGGACUGAUUCAAAAAAAGAAAACAGCUGAUUGCAUUUCCAUUUUAAAGUUAAAAGUUUAUAUGUUUACACAUGUUGAAACAGAAGAAAAGGACAUGUAUUUGACAUAAUCUACUUGGAUUUCAUGAUGUGGAGGCGCCGGUGUUGGACAAGGUCAAGAAUCACAUCACAUCACAUCAGGUUAUAGUCCAACGGGUUUAUUUGAAAACGUGAGCAUGAUUGAAAGUUAUAAAAAUUGUGCGUGACAUAGACAGGUUGGAUGAGAAGAGACAACCUUCUUUAGUGGAGGGAUCAAUGAUCAGGGCAGAGAUUUAAGAUAAGAUUUAAGCAGAGAUAGAAUGCCUACAGUGUGGGAGCAGGCCAUUUAGCCCAGCAAGUCUUCACCAACCCCCCCAAGAGCAUAGCACUCAGAUCCACUCACCCCCUCACCCCACCGUAUC
This is a long non-coding RNA of Chiloscyllium plagiosum (whitespotted bambooshark), 639 nucleotides long. RefSeq lists it as uncharacterized. Lineage: Eukaryota; Metazoa; Chordata; Chondrichthyes; Orectolobiformes; Hemiscylliidae. The record is from RefSeq and is a predicted model, not a curated record.